GACGAACGCUGGCGGCGUGCUUAACACAUGCAAGUCGAACGGAAAGGCCCUGCUUUUGUGGGGUGCUCGAGUGGCGAACGGGUGAGUAACACGUGAGUAACCUGCCCUUGACUUUGGGAUAACAUCAGGAAACUGGGGCUAAUACCGGAUAGGAGCUCCUGCUGCAUGGUGGGGGUUGGAAAGUUUCGGCGGUUGGGGAUGGACUCGCGGCUUAUCAGCUUGUUGGUGGGGUAGUGGCUUACCAAGGCUUUGACGGGUAGCCGGCCUGAGAGGGUGACCGGCCACAUUGGGGCUGAGAUACGGCCCAGACUCCUACGGGAGGCAGCAGUGGGGAAUAUUGCACAAUGGGCGGAAGCCUGAUGCAGCAACGCCGCGUGCGGGAUGACGGCCUUCGGGUUGUAAACCGCUUUCGCCUGUGACGAAGCGUGAGUGACGGUAAUGGGUAAAGAAGCACCGGCUAACUACGUG
Molecule: ribosomal RNA, 468 nt
Filed under: uncultured bacterium
Lineage: Bacteria
Description: partial 16S ribosomal RNA
Rfam family: Bacterial small subunit ribosomal RNA
Source: RNAcentral